RNAcentral lists this ribosomal RNA (253 nucleotides) under uncultured bacterium. Its description in RNAcentral is "partial 16S ribosomal RNA". It matches the Rfam family "Bacterial small subunit ribosomal RNA", at positions 524 to 776 of the family's 1533-position model. The record is from RNAcentral.
UACGAAGGGUGCGAGCGUUAAUCGGAAUUACUGGGCGUAAAGCGCGCGCAGGCGGCUUUGCAAGACAGAUGUGAAAUCCCCGGGCUCAACCUGGGAACUGCAUUUGUGACUGCAUGGCUGGAGUGCGGCAGAGGGGGAUGGAAUUCCGCGUGUAGCAGUGAAAUGCGUAGAUAUGCGGAGGAACACCGAUGGCGAAGGCAAUCCCCUGGGCCUGCACUGACGCUCAUGCACGAAAGCGUGGGGAGCAAACAGG